RNAcentral lists this ribosomal RNA (273 nucleotides) under uncultured bacterium. RNAcentral's name for it is "partial small subunit ribosomal RNA". It matches the Rfam family "Bacterial small subunit ribosomal RNA", at positions 26 to 282 of the family's 1533-position model. The record is from RNAcentral.
AGAAUCAACGCUGGCGGCGUGCCUCAGACAUGCAAGUCGAACGCGAAAGUUUCCUUCGGGAAACAAGUAGAGUGGCGCACGGGUGAGUAACACGUAGGUAAUCUACCUUUGGAUGGGGAAUAACAAUCGGAAACGGUUGCUAAUACCGCAUAAUGCAGCGGCACCUAAUGGUGACAGUUGUUAAAGCGGGGGAUCGAAAGACCUCGCGUCUGAAGAGGAGCCUGCGGCGGAUUAGCUAGUUGGUAAGGUAAUGGCUUACCAAGGCUACGAUCC